This 314-nucleotide ribosomal RNA is filed under the name uncultured bacterium. RNAcentral's name for it is "bacterial SSU rRNA". It matches the Rfam family "Bacterial small subunit ribosomal RNA", at positions 28 to 334 of the family's 1533-position model. The record is from RNAcentral.
GAUGAACGCUAGCUACAGGCUUAACACAUGCAAGUCGAGGGGCAUCGGGAAGAAAGCUUGCUUUCUUUGCCGGCGACCGGCGCACGGGUGAGUAACACGUAUCCAACCUGCCCUUUACUCGGGGAUAGCCUUUCGAAAGAAAGAUUAAUACCCGAUAGCAUAAUGAUUCCGCAUGGUUUCAUUAUUAAAGGAUUCCGGUAAAGGAUGGGGAUGCGUUCCAUUAGGUUGUUGGUGAGGUAACGGCUCACCAAGCCUUCGAUGGAUAGGGGUUCUGAGAGGAACGGCCCCCACAUUGGAACUGAGACACGGUCCAA